Astatotilapia calliptera (eastern happy) is the source of this 1865-nucleotide long non-coding RNA. The record is from Ensembl. NCBI's taxonomy places the organism in Eukaryota, Metazoa, Chordata, Actinopteri, Cichliformes, Cichlidae.
GUUUUUCCUUCCCACUGUCGCCAAAGUGCUGCUCAUAGGGGGUCAUAUGAUUGUUGGGCUUUUCUCUGUAUGUAUUAUUGUAGGGUCUACUGUACAAUAUAAAGCACGGCUGUAUAAAUAAAUUGAUUUGUGUAGAAAAGCGAUUUAAGUGACUUUGACCAUGGUGUGAUCGUUGGUGCUAAAUGGGCUGCUGAACUAUUACAGACCACAUCCACAAAAUUGUCUUAACGCACUUUGUGCCCCUUAGUAUCAGAUGAGCAUUGUCCAAACACCACAGCCUACCUGAGCACCGUCCGUCCCUUUAUGACCACAGGUCUGCAGGGGUGGCAUGUCACAAAGCUCGGAUCAUCCCGGACUGGUUUCUUGAACAUGACGUUGGUGUCUUCUUGCCCCGUCUCUGACGACAUUUGCACCUCUGUUACCCAGCACCACCGCUGCCUUUCUGCCUUUUCUGCGUCUCUGGCGUCUGGCUGUGCUAUCUGACCUUUCCUCUUCCUGUGCUGCUCUGUCACCCUUUUUGUUGACUUUCAUGUUCUGCGUUGAUUAAUUGCAAAACAAGGGAAGUGUAAACUAAAAGUGGGGCUUGUUGUCAGACAAAUUAGUGGUAGUAAAUUCUGGAGCUUUGUCUUUGAAGCCCUGCCCGUGUGCGAUGGCCUCCGGGUCACUGUGUUUACUACAGCUGUGAAAGUCGGAUGUUUUGUAUAUCAGUAGGAAAGGUGUACUUCUUUGGGACCUCACAACGCUAAUGGUGCCGCUCUGUGAAAGCUCAGUGGUUGUUGUCAAUUUUAUGUGUCCUGUUGAUAUUUUAUCUACAAAUUCAUGAUUCCCAGAAGAAUAAUUGCGCUGACGUCCUGCACCACUGUAGUGCUGAUGGCUUGGAUCUGCAUUCAUGCUUCGUAAGAACCAAAAAAUGUAAUUUUAAUUCUUUUUAUAUGGAGGGUAUAUGACAGAGAUCUGUGACAGUAAAAGCGCAGCUCUGGAUAUUCUCGUCCAUCAGUGCCUCGUGUUGACUAAACCUGAGGUGUUUUAUUUUAGCUGAAUCAUCACGAUUGCAAAUAUCAGUGCCCUGAGUUAUAACAAUGUAAUUAAACAAAUUCAACAUGAUAACAUGUCCUCAUAAUCAUCAGUCUGCACACGAAUGGGAAAAAGAGAUGACGCAUAAGCUUAACCUCAUCGUCACAGUUUGGUCCAUAUGUGACUGAUGAUGGGUACUUUUAGCUUCCUGUAGGUUUGAUUAAUGACUGUCUGCUCCGCUGCAGCCAGGUCCACCCUGCACGCAUUUUACUUAAACCAGUGUGAGUGCAUUCGUAGCUAUACACGGCACUGGAAACACUUGAUGCGAAACAAAGGAUUUCCUGAAAACAGGAGGCAGACCAGCUCACCUGUAACACACACAUCCUUGUGUACAGCGAGUCUGGGAGAUAAUCCUGGUUUGUUUCUUAUGUAAUAUGGAAACAAACUCAAAUAUUUGUUCUGUCUGGCCUUAUUUCUUCCACUUCUGACGCAAGUUUGUCACAAAAUGAAACUAAAACAAAUCCUCGGGAUUUAUAAGACAGAACAGAAAAACUUUGUUGAGAUGGAGCCGGUCAAAGGUCACCAUGAUCCCGUUCUUGUGAAUGCAGAACACCUGGAGGAAAUAUCUUUAAAUUUAGCACAAUUAUUGCAUCAGAUUCGGGAAUAAACUGGGUAGAAUUUGUUGGUCAAAGGUUAAACAUCUUCUGUGACUUCACACAAACUUAAAUGAGGACACAACCUGUUAGAUAAUCGUGCAAAUGAUAGAAAACGUGCACUGGUGUCUAACAGGAUAAAAGAAGUGAGGCUAUUAUCUACACAAAUAGGCAAAGAUGUUCUGCAAAAACGCUUUU